UACGGAGGGGGCUAGCGUUGUUCGGAAUUACUGGGCGUAAAGCGCACGUAGGCGGCUUUUUAAGUCAGAGGUGAAAUCCUGGAGCUCAACUCCAGAACUGCCUUUGAUACUGGAGAGCUUGAGUCCGGGAGAGGUGAGUGGAACUGCGAGUGUAGAGGUGAAAUUCGUAGAUAUUCGCAAGAACACCAGUGGCGAAGGCGGCUCACUGGCCCGGUACUGACGCUGAGGCACGAAAGCGUGGGGAGCAAACAGG
RNAcentral lists this ribosomal RNA (253 nucleotides) under uncultured bacterium. Its description in RNAcentral is "partial 16S ribosomal RNA". It matches the Rfam family "Bacterial small subunit ribosomal RNA", at positions 524 to 776 of the family's 1533-position model. The record is from RNAcentral.